Molecule: non-coding RNA, 168 nt
Organism: Chelonoidis abingdonii (Abingdon island giant tortoise)
Lineage: Eukaryota; Metazoa; Chordata; Testudines; Testudinidae
Source: RefSeq, a predicted model, not a curated record
CUGUAUUCAACUCUCAAUAAAUCCUCCUGUUUUAUGCUGGCUGAGAGUCACUCCGCUCUAGAGAAUAGGGGGCAUCAACCCCUUUGGGGGUGAGGCGGCCCAGGGGUUCCAGAGCACGUGGACUCCCUGAGGGGGCCCACGGCGAGAAACAGACGUGCUACGAUUCAG